This 250-nucleotide long non-coding RNA is filed under the name Elaeis guineensis (African oil palm). RNAcentral's name for it is "long non-coding RNA (EGUI_LNC045018)". Lineage: Eukaryota; Viridiplantae; Streptophyta; Magnoliopsida; Arecales; Arecaceae. The record is from RNAcentral.
CUAUGCGAUUGGCUUGUAGGGCACUAUUCUUUCACUCUCGAGUCGGCUCAAUCUCAAAUCUGCAAAAUUUAGCUUUCUGAUCCACCUGAGAGAGUCAGCUCAUGGCUUCCUUGAGUUGGCUCAUCUUUGUGCCAGAACUGCAUGCCACGCCUAAAUUGCGCCAGAGUCAACUCCGUUGCUACUAGGAGUUGACUCAACUUUCUCAAACUUAUUUUUAUCGAGAAAUCUAUCUCCGAACUUGAUUUUUCUU